Homo sapiens (human) is the source of this 3243-nucleotide long non-coding RNA. The record is from Ensembl. Lineage: Eukaryota; Metazoa; Chordata; Mammalia; Primates; Hominidae.
UUUUCUUUUCUUUUUUUUCUUUUUUUUUUUUUUUUGACAGACUCUUGCUCUGUCACCCAAGCUGGAGUGCAGUGAUGCAAUCUUGGCUCACUGCAACCUCCGCCUCCGCCUCCGCCAUGAGAGGUUCAAGUGACUCUCAUGCCUCGGUCUCCCGAGUAGCUGGGAUUACAGGCAUGCACCACCAAACCUGGCUAACUUUUUUAUUUUCAGUAGAGACGAGGUUUCACCAUGUUGGCCAGGCUGGUCUCGAACUCCUGACCUCAAGUGAUCCACUCGCCUCAGCCUCACAAAGUGCUGGAAUUACAGGUGUGAGCCACUACUCCUGGCCUUUUAAGUUUUCUUUAGGUGAGGUUAAUUAUGAUGUUUAUGUCAAAUAUUCAGAAGCAAAAACUUGAUCACCCAUUUUCUUCCAUCAGCCAGCAGGAGUUCAGGUUCUUGCUUCUUCCUGUGUAUCCAUCCACCCUUUCCACCAAUUAUAUCUUUUUCUAGUAACACAGCACUUCAGGACCACCUUAGGUUCAUUCCAAAAUUUCAUUUCAGUGUUUACACAGGAAGAAGGAUCCUAGUUAAAAGACUACACUUCUUAGAAGACAUUUUAGGUACUAUUUUUUGUUAAUUGAUAUUUCGAGGUCUCAUACAUUUCAGGAGCUUUUCCAACUAACUUUAGUAUUCACUCCAAGAUUAAUUCAGAUAAAUGCAAUUUUUCCUACCUGUAGGCACCUAAAGAGUUGUUGGGGUUUGUGUGUGUGGGAUGGGGAGUGCAUUUUUCAUUAUAAUUCUAAUUUAAAAGGUUUAAAAAUGAUAAAUGAUCAAUUCUACACUUAUCUUUAAAUUCAUUAGUAAUAAUACACUUUCAAAGUUCAGGAUAAAUUAUUUCUUUCUUCAACACUUCAGUAUUUAACCAUUCUUGUCACAGAUCCCUUGGAAAGGUUCUGCUCUAAAUUAAUUUAAAAACUAUCAUACUAAGUAUAGUAAGCCCUAUCAAAGUAAGCAAGGUUGUCAAUCAGAGUUGUCAAUCUGGUUGUCAAUCAGCCUUUCAGGGACUCAAGUCCCCAAGUGUUAUCCAGAGUUAGCAACAUUCUCUUUGUUGGAUUUGAAGCUAUGUUUCAUAUUUCAAAUUGAGUAUAAACAGCUUUAAAUGAGAAGAAGACUUCACUUAAUUUGAAAAAGGUAGAGGUUUGAGAAGCAUAUUUAGUUUUUGUCAUCUUUAAAAUAAAAUGAAAUAGAAAACCUAACUAGAGAAAUAUUAUAUUUAUUUAAAAAUAUGUGUCAAUCAACUGUUUCUGUUAUCAGUAAGGCUUCUAGUCAACAGUAGGCCACUGUAGCAUGUGGAGCAAUUUUGUUUCAUUUUGUCUCAUUUUGUCAUACACCUUUGUGUUAGGGUAGAGGUUGGGGUUGGUGAUGGAGAAUCUGUUCCCUGAUAUUUGUAGUCACAUAGACAUGAGAUGCCCUUUCUUGCUAUGACUGAGUCACCAGUAAGUUCACUAAGCCACAUGCACAAGUGUGGAGUUAUUGAAAGGAGGCUACUCCUGAAAUUUGGUGAGCUUAUCAGAAUAAGUUCUACUGGCGCAGCCAAACAAUAGUCCCAAACAUGAACAGUGAGGGGCAGAGAUGAACAACCAUUUUCUCUGAGGCACCAAGCAAAUACUAGAUCAUGAAAAAAAUUCUGUAAUUGACAAUCUCCUCUGGAUUCACAGCAAUGCCUUAUUGAAAUGCAACUUAAAGAAUGAGCUAUUACAAAGGAUAAUCCCACUGGUUUUUCAUCACAAUUUUUGGCACUAAAUAUGGACAUUUCAGUGUAUUUGGUGUGUGUGUUCACAUAUGUGAGAUACGCACAAGGGUAUAAAUGAGUGUGUAUAUAUCCUUCUUAAUUUAUUCUUGUUAAUUUAGACCCAUCUACAAAUUUUCAGACAGAACACAAUUUCCUUUGUAUUUAGAUCUAUUUUGUACACUAUUCCUUAGUCUAAUAUAUACUUUUACAUUUCAUUUAGCAGUAAACAACUGAAGCAUUAUGUAUCCAUAAAAGGCAAUUAUCCUAACCGUUCUAAUUAUCUUAUAACACUUGCACUUUUUUCCUUCAGUGUGUGAGUAUACAAAUGUUUGCUUUGUUUAAGAAAGGGAAAAAAUGGAGACAGAAAGGAUGUACUUUUUAACAAUUCACUAAUCCAGGAAAAUGUCACUUCUUCAAAAACAAACAAAAAAACCUUUGAAAUAACAAAACAGGAAAAAUAAGAUUUUCAGUCAAAAGAUUACUUAUCAUGAAAAACCAAAUAAUUUGCUUAAAAAGGGCUUUCUAAAUUGCUUUAACUUUUGCAUGUUAUUUUUUAAAGUUUAAUUGCCUAAAUUCCUGGUGAUAAAUUUUUUUCAAAAAAUUGACCGAAUAUUAAUUUUUUGUAUUCUAAAGGUCAUGAAAAAAGUUACCUAAUUUCCUGAAAUCCUAAUUAAAUGAAGCAAACCAAAAUAAGAUCUCAUUAUUCUUAUACUGCCUCUGUUUUAAAAAAGAGAGAAAAAACUGGAAUUCAUGCUAAAAACCUUAGGUUUAUUCAUUUUAACUUGAAUUUGUUGUUUAUGAUGAAAUCUUGAGUUUCGGGAUGAUAUGUUUAGAUAUAAUUUUCACUAAUGGAUGUAAAAGAGCUCUGUACCUAAAACAUGUAUUCAUACUUUUUUCUUAAAAGGUCUAAAUUCUUAAUGCUAAGAAGUAUAUUAUCUAAAAGUGGAGUUUUAUAACUCCUACAGUUUGAUAUUUUUGAAGCUACAGAAAAACUUUGACAAGCUCAAAUAGAUUUUUCUCCCCAAAAUGAGUACAUGGUCAUUUCAAACUGACCCUGUUAUCCUUGAACUAAUGGCGUUCCUCCUUCACAGUGGCCAACAGAGGGGAUGGUAUGUACCCCAGGAGGCUGUGCAGCUGACCCUUGAACAACACAGAUUUGAACUGUACGAGUCCACUUCUAUGUGGAUUUUCCUCCAUCUCUGGCACCUGAGACAGCCAAACCAACUUCCCACUCACUCCUGGGCCCACUCAACCUGAAGACAACCAGGAUGAAGAUCCACCUCCACUUGAUGAAUAGCAUGAUUGUAAUUAGAAGGCUGAAGAAAGCCAGAGGAAGGUCCUGGCAGAUGCCAAGUUACCAUUCUGGAGAAAAUCUUCAUGGCCUGUCGAUCUGUCACAGAAAUGAAAAUCCUUUAGAGCCUCUGGAAACAAAAAAUGGCAUUUCUAAAGUAACUCUUCAGUUUAAAAUAAAA